This 1358-nucleotide long non-coding RNA is filed under the name Homo sapiens (human). RNAcentral's name for it is "HSALNT0147125". The record is from RNAcentral. Lineage: Eukaryota; Metazoa; Chordata; Mammalia; Primates; Hominidae.
GAGACAUGGCGCCUGAGUAAUAAAUAUAUUCACAGAAAACAUCGCCGAGUCCUUAACGAUCUUGAGAGUGAAAAAUGAGGCUUUAAAACAGCAUUGUGAACAACACAAGAAACAUCAAAAGCUCUAAUAUGGUGGAAUAGAAGGAUCUGUUCAAGCAGUGACCAAUACAAAAAAACACCCUAGAAGUCUUGCCAAGAGCUGCUUACGGGACUGGCUGCGUAUGAGAAAGCUUCCAGACUUCCAGUUAUCUGAGCCGGUGCCCCUGGGAGACACUGGCAAGUUGGUCCCAGUCAUUCACUGCCCUCUUCCUGGCCCACACAUUUUUAGUUCUGAACCUCAAUGGCUCUUUAAGCUGCCAAGCAGAAUGAACCACUGAGUCUUUAAGAACACCACCUAGGGUAAAUGGGCCAAGCCCCAGCUGAUUUGACCCUCUGACUUCCUCCUUGACAUUCUUGCUGACACAUUGCAACCUCAGCUGUAUUUUGUUGACAAUUAGCAGAUGAAGUGUCCUGAAAACCCAAGGUCUGCUUUAUAUAAGUUACAAAAUGCUUACCAAUGACAGUAUUAAUACCAGGCCUUCUUAACAACAUAUUCUUGAUUACAGUAACUUUGCCUCUGAGUCUUACGUGAAAGAAAAAUCUGCAGGUGUUUCUGUGCCACAGUGAGCACGUAUGUCCAUGCGGCAAUACCCUAAGGAAACUCCCUUCUCCGGAAUAUCUCAGUUGACCUUGCUCUGUAUUUCCUUUAAUUAACAUAAAUAGUUGUGACAUUAUUUCUGUGUAUACAUUCUUCCCCCAUCAGAAUUUUAACUCAAGAGUAAAGAGUACAUUUUUAUUUAAUAAGAAUUCAAUAUCAACCAAUUGGGAGGUAAAAAAGUAAGACAUGAUUAAGGCCUAGGAGGAAGAGGAGAUAAUGUGAGAUAUUAGGGAACUGAAAAAGCCAAGUUACAACCUGACAAAACCAGACACUAAGGAGGGGACCAUCUGGGUCACUAGGCUGCUUAAACAACCUGAACCUGAGACACAACACAGUCCACAUACAAACAUUAUCCCACACUGGUGGAGUUCAAUCUUCAAUAUCUUUCCCUCACCCCUACCAUGGCUUACCAUGCUCUCCUUGCCUCCUUUGUUAUCUUUUCUCUGGACUCAUCUAUUAGCCCUUACUGGUUAAUGGUUACCUCUCUGUUCUAAGCUUUACUUCUUGUCUCCUGUUUUCCUCUUUUUCUGUCUUCCCUGGAUAAUCAGAGGAGGAACUGCCAGGCACCAUCUCCUAAAUCAACUUGCUCAUGAGCAGGGGCCAAAUGAGGAUGUGUGGAAAGUGACCAGAGGAAACCUACAGAAUGGAAAGGAGAGACAGGA